ACGGGUGAGUAACACGUGGGAACGUGCCCUUUGGUUCGGAACAACUCAGGGAAACUUGAGCUAAUACCGGAUAAGCCUUUCGAGGGAAAGAUUUAUCGCCAUUGGAGCGGCCCGCGUAGGAUUAGCUAGUUGGUGGGGUAAAGGCCCACCAAGGCUACGAUCCUUAGCUGGUCUGAGAGGAUGAUCAGCCACAUUGGGACUGAGACACGGCCCAAACUCCUACGGGAGGCAGCAGUGGGGAAUCUUGCGCAAUGGGCGAAAGCCUGACGCAGCCAUGCCGCGUGAAUGAUGAAGGUCUUAGGAUUGUAAAAUUCUUUCACCGGGGACGAUAAUGACGGUACCCGGAGAAGAAGCCCCGGCUAACUUCGUGCCAGCAGCCGCGGUAAUACGAAGGGGGCUAGCGUUGCUCGGAAUUACUGGGCGUAAAGGGAGCGUAGGCGGAUAGUUUAGUCAGAGGUGAAAGCCCAGGGCUCAACCUUGGAAUUGCCUUUGAUACUGGCUAUCUUGAGUACGGAAGAGGUAUGUGGAACUCCGAGUGUAGAGGUGAAAUUCGUAGA
RNAcentral lists this ribosomal RNA (557 nucleotides) under Caulobacter sp. StTD316. RNAcentral's name for it is "bacterial SSU rRNA". It matches the Rfam family "Bacterial small subunit ribosomal RNA", at positions 102 to 694 of the family's 1533-position model. The record is from RNAcentral. Lineage: Bacteria; Pseudomonadati; Pseudomonadota; Alphaproteobacteria; Caulobacterales; Caulobacteraceae.